CCUACGGGAGGCAGCAGUGGGGGAUAUUGGACAAUGGGCGCAAGCCUGAUCCAGCAACGCCGCGUGGAGGAUGAAGGCUUUCGGGUCGUAAACUCCUGUCAGGUGGGACGAAAAGGGGUCGUCUAACAAGCGGCUCCGCUGACGGUACCACCAGAGGAAGCCCCGGCUAACUCCGUGCCAGCAGCCGCGGU
RNAcentral lists this ribosomal RNA (191 nucleotides) under uncultured bacterium. RNAcentral's name for it is "partial 16S ribosomal RNA". It matches the Rfam family "Bacterial small subunit ribosomal RNA", at positions 338 to 521 of the family's 1533-position model. The record is from RNAcentral.